UGAGAUAUCCUCCAUCCCAGACGACUCAAAUCAAUCUCCAACACUGCAGAUCACGAAUACGCCCACAUGUGCAGUUGUUCUUGCUGCAGCUUACGCGGAUCUUCCCUUUCUUGAAAAUACCGAUACAUCCCUUGCAAGUAUCUCAUCAUGAUUUUCCAAACUGAAACCAUCACGUGCAUUGAGAUAGACCUCUGUGAAUGUUUCUUCCUCUGACGUUGUCAUUGUCUACCACAAACAAACGUCAUCUGCUUCCUUCUCUGAUGCUACAUAUUUUAAGCAUUAUCUAUGGUUCGUCACACCUGAAAAUAAUCAUGUAAAUCGUGACUACAAAUCUACUGAUUCUUCUUCUCCAUAAUUUUCAGCUGAUGUCGAUGUUAAUCUGAAUCUCCUGUAGAACCUGAAUCACCACUGACUCAAACUAGAAGUUCUUUGACUCAAUCCUUAUCCAACCUCAAUAGCCCGUAGACAC
RNAcentral lists this long non-coding RNA (469 nucleotides) under Brassica napus (rape). RNAcentral describes it as "long non-coding RNA (BNAP_LNC021794)". Lineage: Eukaryota; Viridiplantae; Streptophyta; Magnoliopsida; Brassicales; Brassicaceae. The record is from RNAcentral.